CGAGGUGUUGGGGAGUUUGGUCACCCCGCCUGCUUUGGGAGCAGGAGAACUCGCGCGUUCGAAUCGCGCCACCUCGACCA
RNAcentral lists this transfer RNA (80 nucleotides) under Oscillospiraceae bacterium. RNAcentral's name for it is "tRNA-Pro". It matches the Rfam family "tRNA". From Rfam's summary of the family: Transfer RNA (tRNA) molecules are approximately 80 nucleotides in length. Their secondary structure includes four short double-helical elements and three loops (D, anti-codon, and T loops). Lineage: Bacteria; Bacillati; Bacillota; Clostridia; Eubacteriales; Oscillospiraceae. The record is from RNAcentral.